UUUCCGUAGGUUGAGUUCAGCCUGCUGGAGCGGCAGCCGACCGCUAGUCUCUCAGAGGAGAGGCAACACGCCCACUGUGCGGAGAGGCCCUUCAGGCAACCCGCAGCUGUUCGUAGAAGCAGCUCAGAGGCUCAAUAGGCGUGGGCGCAGCACCAACCGCUGUGUUUGAGAUAGAGUCCACCUCCGCUGGCAAUAGCGGGGAGCAAGUGGAACCUGCGGAAGGAUCAUUACAGAAUAUACUUAUUCUCACCCUAUGUAUACAGAACUCUUGUUGCCUCGGCGCGCGUCUGCGUCAGAGGACCUAAACGCUGAAAUUAUACUGUCUGAGUCGCUAUGCAAAUAGUCAAAACUUUCAACAACGGAUCUCUUGGUUCGG
Molecule: unclassified non-coding RNA, 376 nt
Filed under: plant metagenome
Description: partial contains small subunit ribosomal RNA, internal transcribed spacer 1, and 5.8S ribosomal RNA
Source: RNAcentral